Molecule: long non-coding RNA, 634 nt
Organism: Portunus trituberculatus (swimming crab)
Lineage: Eukaryota; Metazoa; Arthropoda; Malacostraca; Decapoda; Portunidae
Exons: 3
Source: RefSeq, a predicted model, not a curated record
CAUCUCUCAGCCAGGCAGCAAACGCCGCAGUAAGUCGAGGAGCCUGGGAGGAGCCACUUAAUACCUUGUUGUCUUUUGUGCGUGAAGAUUUCUUUGCUCUCAUCAACAUUUACACACGAUUACGGGGAAACAGGACUGCCGAAGCCUUAUCGGAAGUAGUUUUCAGCAUCGCAAAAGAUGUGCUAUACGCGUCCUAUGGAAUGAUGGCAGCUCGAGACAUACACGAUGGAAUGAAAGGAUAACAGUGAGGAAGGUCAGAUGGGAAGCACUGGACUCUUGACCUUCGGAAGUGAUGGCAUGAGGUUCCCAUGCGUGCAGGGGAGUCAGCACGGGCUGCGGGAUGCCCAGGGGAACCAUCACCCCGCCCGAGCUGUCCUCCAGCCCCCGUGGGUACGAGCUCACCAGCGUCCCCAUCCCCAUAGCUGUGUGAAAGAGAAAAUUAGACACUUUGCUGCCAUCAGAACUGUGAAGACCAAUGAAAUGUUCUGCAAGUUUGUAAAAAAAAGUCGUGUGUAUGCAUUGUCAUUACUAGAAGUCUUGUAACCGUCUCUGCUCUCUUCCAUUGUGGUUUGGGUUUUAUUUGUGUUUUGGGUUCCAUAACAGCCUUAGUUCCUUUCUUCUAAUCUCUUUAUGA